RNAcentral lists this long non-coding RNA (823 nucleotides) under Salmo salar (Atlantic salmon). RNAcentral's name for it is "lncRNA (ENSSSAG00000114548.1)". The record is from RNAcentral. Lineage: Eukaryota; Metazoa; Chordata; Actinopteri; Salmoniformes; Salmonidae.
AAACUAGCACUCCUGGAAUUGAAUGUGUUUAAAACAGCCUUCUAGUAUUUUCCAUCAGUUGGUAGUACAAUACAAAAUGUCUGAUUCAUUAUGAGUCAGUCUCUUCCAGUCAGACACCUAGAGGGGAAACAUCCUUGUCAGGUGUUGGCUAUAACAGGGGCUAUAACAGGGGUGAUACAGUUUCUGGUCAGGUGUUGGGCUAUAACAGGGGCUAUAACACGGGUGAUACAGUUUCUGGUCAGGUGCUGGGCUGUAACAGGGGCUAUAACAGGGGUGAUACAGUUUAUCUGGUCAGGUGUUGGGCUAUAACAGGGGCUAUAACAGGGGUGAUACAGUUUAUCUGGUCAGGUGCUGGGCUAUAACAGGGGCUAUAACAGGGGUGAUACAGUUUCUGGUCAGGUGUUGGGCUAUAACGGGGGUUUUACAGUUUCUGGUCAGGUGUUGGGCUAUAACAGGGGCUAUAACAGGGGUGAUACAGUAUAUCUGGUCAGGUGUUGGGCUAUAACAGGGGUGAUACAGUUUAUCUGGUCAGGUGCUGGGCUAUAACAGGGGCUAUAACAGGGGCUAUAACAGGGGUGAUAUAGUAUAUCUGGUCAGGUGUUGGCUAUAACAGGGGUGAUACAGUUUAUCUGGUCAGGUGCUGGGCUAUAACAGGGGCUAUAACAUGGGGCUAUUAAUAUGGUUGAAUCUGGAAACUAUCAUCUCGAAAACAAAAGUUUUUUUCUUUCAGUGACAUACGGAACCGUUCCGUAUUUUAUCUAACGGGUGACUAAGUCUAAAUAUUCCUGUUAGGCAUCGAUGUUUAUGGUUAGGUACAUUGGUG